UACGAAGGGAGCUAGCGUUUUUCGGAUUUAUUGGGCGUAAAGAGCGCGUAGGCUGCUAAUUAAGUUGAAAGUGAAAGCCCAAAGCUUAACUUUGGAAUUGCUUUCAAAACUGAUUAGCUAGAGUUUGGUAGGGGAUGAUGGAAUUCUUGGUGUAGGGGUGAAAUUCUUAGAUAUCAGGAGGAACACCGGUGGCGAAGGCGAUCAUCUGGGCCAUAACUGACGCUAAUGCGCGAAAGCGUGGGGAGCAAAC
This 250-nucleotide ribosomal RNA is filed under the name uncultured bacterium. RNAcentral describes it as "partial 16S ribosomal RNA". It matches the Rfam family "Bacterial small subunit ribosomal RNA", at positions 524 to 773 of the family's 1533-position model. The record is from RNAcentral.